CUGGUUAAGUGCCGUUGUGUGGACUAACACUCCUGUCCGACAUCGCAACACUCUGCCAACAGUUUGGUCUCAGAGUUGAAACUAUAGAUCUAGGGUUAGGGUUACUGAUGCUCAGUAUGGUUGGCACUGAAUAGGUUAACAUCUGCCGAAUGUAUAAGUGUUCACAAUGUCGGCAUCUGAUCUGUCGACAUUCUGCAGAUUACCAACAUUAGGGUUAGGCUACAGGGGAGGAUUAUGGGUACAGGCAGACCCCCGAUUUAAUGUCAGCAUGAUUAGAAUGUCACUGUGUAUACAUUCUGCAGAUGCCGACAUGUUCCAUGCUGACAUUCCAACAAUAACUGUUGCCAUGGUAACUUCAUCUCCUAGAUACUGUACUGUACCACAUAAUACAGGAUCCGCCCCAUAUCUGUGCAUAGCUGUAUACCAGGAAGCAUGCAGGGAAACACUACACGGCUCAUGGCCGCCCAGGGCAGGACGGAAGCACAUCAGUGGGGGGACGGCAGCUGUAACAGCCAGGGUCAGAUGAAGGAGAAUUCAGCAUCCCUAUAGCAUCCCGCAGAGAAGCUGGAAGUGGCAGCACUCCUUAUACAUCGCUCUCAGCGCUAUCACACAGGGGUAUGGAUCGCGCCUUGGAGAGAGAUAAAGUGCAGCCAAUCGCUGGUAAUUGGAUACAUCAGCUUGCAAAGGCCACGGAGGACGUGUGUACAUCUGCUAAACCGGAAACGCUGGCGUGCUGUAAGACUGUCACCCCUAACAGAAGUGGAGGGAGAACGUCUCUUACACCUGGAACAAUGGGAAACAGGAAAUGUUUUGUUCUAAUAAAUGGAAGUACAUUAAACAGAACAA
Molecule: long non-coding RNA, 846 nt
Organism: Pseudophryne corroboree (corroboree frog)
Lineage: Eukaryota; Metazoa; Chordata; Amphibia; Anura; Myobatrachidae
Exons: 2
Source: RefSeq, a predicted model, not a curated record